This 543-nucleotide ribosomal RNA is filed under the name Candidatus Phytoplasma pruni. Its description in RNAcentral is "bacterial SSU rRNA". It matches the Rfam family "Bacterial small subunit ribosomal RNA", at positions 803 to 1354 of the family's 1533-position model. The record is from RNAcentral. Lineage: Bacteria; Bacillati; Mycoplasmatota; Mollicutes; Acholeplasmatales; Acholeplasmataceae.
UAAACGAUGAGUACUAAGUGUCGGGUAAAACUGGUACUGAAGUUAACACAUUAAGUACUCCGCCUGAGUAGUACGUACGCAAGUAUGAAACUUAAAGGAAUUGACGGGACUCCGCACAAGCGGUGGAUCAUGUUGUUUAAUUCGAAGAUACACGAAAAACCUUACCAGGUCUUGACAUUUUCUUGCGAAGUUAUAGAAAUAUAAUGGAGGUUAUCAGGAAAACAGGUGGUGCAUGGUUGUCGUCAGCUCGUGUCGUGAGAUGUUAGGUUAAGUCCUAAAACGAGCGCAACCCUUGUCGUUAAUUGCCAGCAUGUAAUGAUGGGGACUUUAACGAGACUGCCAAUGAAAAAUUGGAGGAAGGUGGGGAUUACGUCAAAUCAUCAUGCCCCUUAUGAUCUGGGCUACAAACGUGAUACAAUGGUUGAUACAAAGAGUAGCUGAAACGCGAGUUCUUAACCAAUCUCAAAAAAUCAAUCUCAGUUCGGAUUGAAGUCUGCAACUCGACUUCAUGAAGUUGGAAUCGCUAGUAAUCGCGAAUCAGCA